UACGUAGGGGGCAAGCGUUGUCCGGAAUCAUUGGGCGUAAAGCGCGUGUAGGCGGCUGGGUAAGUCCGCUCUGAAAGCCCGGGGCUCAACCCCGGGAGGCGGGUGGAUACUGCUCAGCUCGAGUCCGGAAGAGGAGUGUGGAAUUCCUGGUGUAGCGGUGAAAUGCGCAGAUAUCAGGAGGAACACCAAUGGCGAAGGCAGCACUCUGGGACGGUACGGACGCUGAGACGCGAAAGCGUGGGAGCAAACAGG
This 252-nucleotide ribosomal RNA is filed under the name uncultured bacterium. Its description in RNAcentral is "partial 16S ribosomal RNA". It matches the Rfam family "Bacterial small subunit ribosomal RNA", at positions 524 to 776 of the family's 1533-position model. The record is from RNAcentral.